RNAcentral lists this ribosomal RNA (777 nucleotides) under uncultured Moraxellaceae bacterium. RNAcentral describes it as "partial 16S ribosomal RNA". It matches the Rfam family "Bacterial small subunit ribosomal RNA", at positions 1 to 776 of the family's 1533-position model. The record is from RNAcentral. Lineage: Bacteria; Pseudomonadati; Pseudomonadota; Gammaproteobacteria; Moraxellales; Moraxellaceae.
UUUUAGUAGCGCGUGAGAGCAUAGCCUUUCAGACGCUAUUCACUAGUAGCACAACUUGUUUCGACGCUUAGAGUAAUAUCGUAGCUCCUUCGAUGGCUGGCUUAGAUAACAGUCAGAGUGCGCGCGCAUCUCUAUAGAGUGAUGCGAGGAAUGGAAGGGUCGAGAGGAUUACCUCGCUGUCGUGGGGCCUCAACAGUGAAUUGGUCUUGACCUAGACGGGGCGCGACGCGCGACGGUGGUGAGUAAUGCUACAGUGACGAUCGUAGCUGUCUAGUGACGUCUAUCACCUGGACUGAGCACGGCCAGACUCUACGGAUGUCAGCAGUGGGAAUUUUGGUCAAUGGGGCACCCUGAUCCAGCAAUGCGCGUGUGUGAAGAAGACUUCGGGUUGUUAAAGCACUUUUGUCCGGAAAAGAAAACGCGUGGUUAAUACCCGUGGCGGAAUGAACGAUACCGAAAAGAAUAAGCACCGAGCUAAACUACGUUGCCAGCAGGCCGCGGUAAUACGUAGGGGUGCAAGCGUUUAAUCGGAAAUACUGGGCGUUAAAAGCGUGCGCAAGGCGGUUCCGCUAAAGACAGAUGUUGAAAUCCCCCGGGCUUUACCCUGGGAACUGCAUUUGUGACUGGCGGGGCUAGAAUAAUGGCAGAGGGGGGGUAGAAUUUCCCCGUGUAGCCAGUGAAAUGCGGUAGAGGAUGGUGGAGGAAUUCCGAAUGGCGGAAGGGCAGCCCCUGGGCCAAUACUGACGCUCAUGCACGAAAACGGGGGGAAGAAACAGG